Long non-coding RNA from Hippoglossus stenolepis (Pacific halibut), 763 nucleotides. RefSeq lists it as uncharacterized. The record is from RefSeq and is a predicted model, not a curated record. The transcript has 3 exons. NCBI's taxonomy places the organism in Eukaryota, Metazoa, Chordata, Actinopteri, Pleuronectiformes, Pleuronectidae.
CAGUACUUAACCAACCAGUCACUCAGACAGCUUUGAGGAAGGAAGCAAGGGAAAAUCACCACCUAUUGCCUUUGCACAUCUGUCAGAGAAUGGAGCUGACAGCAGGAGAAAUGACUCAGCGACAGACCACAGCAGAGUGAAAGCUCUUUUCCCCUUAAAUGGAUUUCUUCAAAGAAGUGAAGCUACGGAAAACAUCUGUGUCUGGAUCCCACCGAUCACAAACCAGGAAACAAAUACUUACCAGCAACCAGGAGCCAAAAAUGUCACAUGGGUGUGUUUAGACAAGUGUUAGUGUUAGGUAUUUUUUCUUUUAUACGAGUAGAAAGAGUUCACACCUGAGCGUUUAAUGACAUUGCUGUUGGAUCUUUGACCGUCCAUCUGAGUCACUGGCGGCACGUAAACAAACCCACAAGCAAAUUCCAUUGUGGAUCUGCCUGUGUGUGAGAGAAAGGACAAUAAUUAACACAACACGACCCCUGAUAACAACAACAAAUAGUGUACGGUAACAACUUCAACUCAUAACAAAGGUAAUUAUCCAAUCCUAGCCAUAGCAAUCAAAGUAAUCAAAGUAAUAACAGAAGGAUUUUCCAUGGGGAGCAUGUGGAUAAUGAUACAGCUUUUAAGAAGCAGUCUCAUUAAAGAAACAUAAUCUAGACAACGCAUCCAACGUCUUAAUGCGAUACAAAAUGAACCAGUUCUCUUAAAGAAGGCACAUAUAAUGUAUACUCACACACGGAGAGUCCUUUGAACGCUGAGGGUACAG